AUUGAACGCUGGCGGCAUGCUUUACACAUGCAAGUCGAACGGUAACAGGCCGCAAGGUGCUGACGAGUGGCGAACGGGUGAGUAAUGCAUCGGAACGUGCCCAGUCGUGGGGGAUAACUACUCGAAAGAGUAGCUAAUACCGCAUACGAUCUAUGGAUGAAAGCGGGGGACCGUAAGGCCUCGCGCGAUUGGAGCGGCCGAUGUCAGAUUAGGUAGUUGGUGGGGUAAAGGCUCACCAAGCCAACGAUCUGUAGCUGGUCUGAGAGGACAACCAGCCACACUGGGAGUGAGACACGGCCCAGACUCCUACGGGAGGCAGCAGCGGGGAAUUUUGGACAAUGGGCGCAAGCCUGAUCCAGCAAUGCCGCGUGCAGGAAGAAGGCCUUCGGGUUGUAAACUGCUUUUGUACGGAACGAAACGGCUCUGGUUAAUACCCGGGGCUAAUGACGGUACCGUAAGAAUAAGCACCGGCUAACUACGUG
This 482-nucleotide ribosomal RNA is filed under the name uncultured bacterium. RNAcentral's name for it is "partial 16S ribosomal RNA". It matches the Rfam family "Bacterial small subunit ribosomal RNA", at positions 30 to 507 of the family's 1533-position model. The record is from RNAcentral.